This is a long non-coding RNA of Astyanax mexicanus (Mexican tetra), 2308 nucleotides long. RefSeq lists it as uncharacterized. Lineage: Eukaryota; Metazoa; Chordata; Actinopteri; Characiformes; Acestrorhamphidae. The record is from RefSeq and is a predicted model, not a curated record. The transcript has 3 exons.
UAAAUUCCAAAUAAUUUGCAUUUAUUUACAGAAAAUGAGAAAUGUCUGAAAUAACAAAAAAGAUGCAGAGCUUUCAGACCUCAAAUAAUGCAAAGAAAACAAGUUCAUAUUCAUAAAGAUUUAGAAAUCAAUAUUUGGUGGAAUAACCCUGGUUGGGUUUUAAUCACAGUUUUUUUUCAUGCAUCUUGGCAUCAUGCUCUCCUCCUCCACCAGUCUUACACACUGCUUUUGGGUAACUUUAUGCUGCUUUACUCCUGGUGCAAAAAAUCAAGCAGUUCUUGAUUAUAUUCUAGUUUUUCAGUUUGGGAAAAACUAAGAAACUCAUCAUUUUUAAGUGCUCUCUUAUUAUUUUUUUUUUACCAGAGCUGUAUAUCUAUUUACACAUCUCUUUUUCCCUAUUGCCAAUAUUAUAUAACUAUAUCUUUUGGACUUUAAACUGCUAAAAUAUAAAAUGACAUAAAAUGUGACACAAACUCACACAGAGUCUAUCUACUCUUAUCAGUAUCUGAAUGUGUCUGGUGUUAUCUAACAAUUACAACAGUUCAAUAACCAGAUCAACAAUGUUUACUUCCUCAAGCAAAACGUGACUUAUUGUACAUGUUGGAUUAACCCUUGUUGGUAUUCAAAUAUUUCUUAGAUAUUUCUUGUAGUUGGUCAGCAGAUUUGUGCAUAUUUCAGGGGGGAUUUUGGCGUUACUCCUCUUUAUAGAAAACCUCCAAUUCUUGAACAUUUCGAGGAUGUUGCUUGGAAAGUUAAAGUUUGAGAUCCUUCCACAGAUUUUUCUAUGAAAUUAAGCUCAUUUGCUGCCUUGCCUGUAUGGUGUGGGUCAUUGUCAUGCUGAAAGACCAAUCCACAUUGUAUCUUCUUCAGUGUGCUGACUGAAACCAGGAGGUUUUUGUUUAAGAUUACACAUUAUAAGGACCUCAAUCAUCAGCUUCUCAAGCUGGUGAAGUCGUUCUGUAUCUUUAGCAUAGAAACAAUCCUAUAGCAGAAUGUUUCCACCUCCAUGUUCGAUAGUGAGGAUGGUGUUUUUGGGGUAAAAUCCAGUAUUUCUCAAAGAGCUUCAGAUGGUCUGUACAUGAGGUUUAGUCAGCAAAUUAAUUGCAGGAUGUCAAUUCGUUUUAUUGCAGAGAUUGGCAAAUAAGCUUGGCCAGAAGCCAGAUAUUUUCCAAGCCAUUACCUGGUGGCCACAAAAAAAAAUCUGUAAUGGGAUGGAGUUCUACAGAUUGAUUGCUCUCCAGCCCAGAGUGUUGAACCCAAUUGCAGAACAGUUGAUCUCAAAGCAGGUAAACCCAAGAAGAAAUUACUAAAAAAAUAAAUAAAUAAACACACAGCUCCUCACGCGAGAUUAAACUCGUGUCGUCAGGGUCACGCUCCAAUACACUACCACUGCCCCGGCUAGUAAAUUGUGACACGACCGGGAAAAAAAACGCCCUUAUAUGGAGAUAGGGAGCCUGAGAACGGGUGGAAAAAUGAGAACAAGCGAAAACUAAACUAAAGUCAUGCUGAGCAACAGAGAGAGAGACAGGGGAGGUAUGUAAACAAAAGCUCACCAGAGAAGCAUUUUAUGAAGUAUUAUUUUCAUUGCCAUUUAUUAUUAGUAUUAUUAGUUCAAACAUCCUCACGGGCCAGAUGUUUCAUGCUUGCGGCCUGUGGAACACCUAUUGCCGACCCCUGCAUUACGGUUAGGUGUGUUGCCAAUGGUUUUCUUUGUGACUGGUCUCCCAGCUACCUUUAGAUCAUUAACAACUGGUAUAAUUCUGGACUGAGCUUUUAAAUUAGAAUAGUAGUGCAUGAAAGCUUAUGGUUAAAUACAUUCAUUAGAAAGGGUGUUCAUAAGUAUUAGGACACAGGCUGUAGUGUAUAGCUACAGUAUAUCUCACAGUGUAAACAUGAUAAAAGUGUGAUGUUUUCUGUCUCACUUCAGUUUUAUUGUGUUUUUAUUGCAGUCAAAGGCCAACCAUCACGUUUACAGAUACAGGAAAUUCCUUAAAGUCACAAACACACACGUGUACACACACAUGUGCAUUGAUUAAAUGGGUUUUAAACAGGGUAUAAAAGCAUGUGCACUGCAGACCAGGUUAGAGAACUACUUUUUUACAGGUCCAGCGCAAAAAAAGGCCAAUCUGCUGUUGAAGCUGUUGAAAGCAAAAAUGAAAGACAGAGUGUUUCUGGCUCUACUGCUCCCCCUGCUAGCUGGGAGUAACCCAGUUUCUCAGGAUCCUCUUCCAACAGACUGCUCAGACAUCUACGCUAAUGAACAAAAAGUGAGCGGGGUGUACACCAUCUACCCUACAGGUGACACACC